UUUAUUGUUUCUAUUAUAUUUAGUUGAUUUAGUUUUCUUUCAUUUUCUAUAUGUUUAUUCUUUUGCAGCAAUCAAGAGUAAAAGAGAAAUUUCCUUAAAAAAUGAUAUGAGAAUUUUACUCAAACAUGUGCAUUGCACAUGCGCGCGGAAAAAUAACUCAGGGUUUAUGGCUCUAACAAAAUUAAAAACCUACCGUCUAACAGUUGAAAGUUAAAGGGCAAAUGUGCACACUAUCCCAAAAAUUUUAUGGGGAGUUUUGCAUGAUUUCUCCUAAUUGUUAACAAUUUUGAAUAUUUUAUUAUACUUACAAUUGCUUGAGGUAAUUUUUCCUAUCCUUCUUAUUUCUUCUGUUUCAUCAUAAAACUCGAUUUACUUUUACUAGUUUAUGUUUUCAGUACGGCUU
This 403-nucleotide long non-coding RNA is filed under the name Eucalyptus grandis. RNAcentral's name for it is "long non-coding RNA (EGRA_LNC007282)". The record is from RNAcentral. Lineage: Eukaryota; Viridiplantae; Streptophyta; Magnoliopsida; Myrtales; Myrtaceae.